This 323-nucleotide long non-coding RNA is filed under the name Actinidia chinensis (golden kiwifruit). Its description in RNAcentral is "long non-coding RNA (ACHI_LNC009754)". The record is from RNAcentral. Lineage: Eukaryota; Viridiplantae; Streptophyta; Magnoliopsida; Ericales; Actinidiaceae.
AAACUUAAGUUUUCGUACAAAUUUGGAGCAGUGUAUCAGAAUCACGCCGGAACCAACUCAAUGUAUCCAGCAGCGGUAAAGGAUCCCUAUCAUCCGCCGGUGGCAGUACCUUAUGCCCCACCAGCCCAACCUCCACCGGCUGGAUAUCCUCCUCCUGGAUCGUAUGUCCCGCCACCUCCCCCGUCAGGAUACCCUGCCCCUGGACCGUCAGGAUACCCCAUCCCUGGACCGUCAGGAUACCCCGCUCCUGCACAGGCAGCCGGAGGAUAUGGAUAUCCUUACGGAGGAUACCCACCAAACCCGCCCCCAUCCGGAUAUCCACC